RNAcentral lists this ribosomal RNA (253 nucleotides) under uncultured bacterium. Its description in RNAcentral is "partial 16S ribosomal RNA". It matches the Rfam family "Bacterial small subunit ribosomal RNA", at positions 524 to 776 of the family's 1533-position model. The record is from RNAcentral.
UACGUAGGGGGCUAGCGUUGUCCGGAAUCAUUGGGCGUAAAGCGCACGUAGGCGGCUUGGCAAGUCGGAUGUGAAAUCCCUCGGCUCAACCAAGGAAGUGCAUCCGAAACUGCUAAGCUUGAGUACUUAAGAGGAUCGCGGAAUUCCCGGUGUAGAGGUGAAAUUCGUAGAUAUCGGGAGGAACACCAGUGGCGAGGGCGGCGAUCUGGGAAGAUACUGACGCUGAGGUGCGAAAGCGUGGGGAGCAAACAGG